Molecule: long non-coding RNA, 461 nt
Filed under: Rhinopithecus bieti (black snub-nosed monkey)
Lineage: Eukaryota; Metazoa; Chordata; Mammalia; Primates; Cercopithecidae
Description: lncRNA (ENSRBIG00000045790.1)
Source: RNAcentral
AGGUUUGGACAUGCUGACCUCCUUGGUCACAGGCUGGAGAGAUGGAGAUCUCCUUCCUGGAGAUGUGGAGGCAGAUGGCCUCUCUUUACGGAAGAUUCAUGUGGGCUGUGAGGAAGAACUUCCUUUCUGGUCACUCAUCGAAUGCUGCUGAGAAUGCAGAGGCGGCUGGGCGGCUCCCUGCAAGUGAAGGCAUGAGAGAGGCCAUUUCUCCCUGCUCCAGAGCCUGGGAGAGGCGAUGGUGCCACCAGGACACACCUCAGGAGGCCACAGUCAGCACAGGAGCGCUACUACAGGGCCCACGGUUGAAAUGCCUUCGACAUCCAAGUAGGUAACUGAAUAAAUGAGUUGGAAGCUCGGCUGAGAAGUGAGGACCCAAGAUACACAUGUAAGAUUCUCAGCAUCUGGACAUAGCACAUGGACUCCAAAAGGUGCCCCACUCUGAGCGCUUCUGUGGAUAGGAG